AAAGUCCGGCUACAGAGGGUGAUAGCCCCGUACGGGAAAUUGAGUCGACAGUACUAAGGCUGCGAGAAGUAGAGCGGGACACGUGAAAUUCUGCUCGAAGAUGGGGGGACCAUCCUCCAAGGCUAAAUACUCGUAAUCGACCGAUAGCGAACCAGUACUGUGAAGGAAAGGCGAAAAGAACCCCGGGAGGGGAGUGAAAUAGAUCCUGAAACCGCAUACAUACAAACAGUAGGAGCCCGCAAGGGUGACUGCGUACCUUUUGCAUAAUGGGUCAGCGACUUACGUUCAAUGGCAAGCUUAACCGAGUAGGGGAGGCGCAGCGAAAGCGAGUCCGAACAGGGCGACAUGAGUCGUUGGGCGUAGACCCGAAACCAGAUGAUCUAUCCAUGGUCAGGUUGAAGGUGUGGUAACACACACUGGAGGGCCGAACCGACUAGUGUUGCAAAAUUAGCGGAUGAGCUGUGGAUAGGGGUGAAAGGCUAAACAAAUCUGGAGAUAGCUGGUUCUCCCCGAAAACUAUUGAGGUAGUGCCUCGUGUAUGGCUCCAGGGGGUAGAGCACUGUUAUGGCUAGGGGGACAUGGCGUCUUACCAAACCAUGGCAAACUCCGAAUACUUGGAAGUCUGAGCACGGGAGACAGAGCACCGGGUGCUAACGUCCGGACUCAAAAGGGAAACAACCCAGACCGCCGGCUAAGGUCCCUAAUAUUGACUAAGUGGAAAACGAAGUGGGAAGGCUAAGACAGUCAGGAAGUUGGCUUAGAAGCAGCCAUCCUUCAAAGAAAGCGUAAUAGCUCACUGAUCGAGUCUUCCUGCGCGGAAGAUGUAACGGGGCUAAGUCAAUAACCGAAGCCGCGGAUUCGCAGCAAUGCGAGUGGUAGGGGAGCGUUCUGUAAGCCUGCGAAGGCGGAUCUGCGAGGACCGCUGGAGGUAUCAGAAGUGCGAAUGCUGACAUGAGUAACGUUAAAGCGGGUGAAAAGCCCGCUCGCCGCAAGCCCAAGGUUUCCUGCUCUACGUUCAUCGGAGCAGGGUGAGUCGGCCCCUAAGGUCAGGCUGAGAAGCGUAGCUGAUGGGAAGCUGGUUAAUAUUCCAGCACCGAUUUCAAGUGCGAAGGGGGGACGGAGUCCUGAAGGUCAUCCGGGUGUUGGAUAUCCCGGUUUACGAGCGUAGGAGGUUGACAGGCAAAUCCGUCAACGGAUCUCCAAGGCGAAGGAUCGAGGUUGAGAGAUCAACUGAAGUGACUGAAUGGGCUUCCAGGAAAAGCCUCUAAGCAUCAGCUUGGAAUUGACCGUACCGCAAACCGACACUGGUGGGCGAGCUGAAUAUGCUCAGGCGCUUGAGAGAACUCAGGAGAAGGAACUCGGCAAAUUGACACCGUAACUUCGGGAUAAGGUGUGCCUUUGUAGUGUGAAGGGAGAAACACCCCGAGCAUGAAGAGGCCUCAGAGAAUCGGUGGCUGCAACUGUUUACUAAAAACACAGCACUCUGCAAAGAUGAAAGUCGACGUAUAGGGUGUGAUGCCUGCCCGGUGCUGGAAGAUUAAUUGAUGGGGUGCAAGCUCCUGAUCGAAGUCCCAGUAAACGGCGGCCGUAACUAUAACGGUCCUAAGGUAGCGAAAUUCCUUGUCGGGCAAGUUCCGACCUGCACGAAUGGCAUAAUGAUGGCCACACUGUCUCCUCCUGAGACUCAGUGAAGUUGAAAUGUUUGUGAUGAUGCAAUCUCCCCGCGGCUAGACGGAAAGACCCCAUGAACCUUUACUGCAGCUUUGCAUUGGACUUUGAACCGAUCUGUGUAGGAUAGGUGGGAGGCAGUGAAGCUAGGACGCCAGUCUUAGCGGAGCCAACCUUGAAAUACCACCCUGAUUUGUUUGAGGUUCUAACCUAGGAGCGUGAUCCGCUUCGGGGACCGUGCAUGGCAGGCAGUUUGACUGGGGCGGUCUCCUCCUAAAGGGUAACGGAGGAGUGCGAAGGUACGCUAGGUACGGUCGGAAAUCGUGCUGAUAGUGCAAUGGCAAAAGCGUGCUUGACUGCGAGA
RNAcentral lists this ribosomal RNA (2032 nucleotides) under human gut metagenome. Its description in RNAcentral is "bacterial LSU rRNA". It matches the Rfam family "Bacterial large subunit ribosomal RNA", at positions 346 to 2380 of the family's 2925-position model. The record is from RNAcentral.